CCAAGUCAGGUGGCCAAGCACCCACGGGCUAUGCCGACGCUGCACAGCCUGUUCUGUUGGUGCCCAGGACAGGACGGUUGUGGGAGGCAGAGGUGGGUGAACCCUGUCCAGACCUGCUGUCCCUGGCAGUGUCCUGUGCACCUGGAGGUGCCUACCAGCCUGCCCUCACAGGGACCUGGAGAGGUGACCCACUCUUCGGGCAUCUUGAAAGGAGAUUUGCUUUUGUUCCCAUCUGCACUGUGGUUUGAAGUCUAGAAGACACUGAGAGACAAGCUAAGUGUAAGUGAAGCUUUGUUUUUCCUAUGCAGAAAGAACCAGUUGACUGGGGCAUGAUGAACUGAGAAGGUGAUGUGUUCCUUGGCUCAAAGGCCACAGAGAGGGG
This 382-nucleotide long non-coding RNA is filed under the name Manacus vitellinus (golden-collared manakin). RNAcentral's name for it is "lncRNA (ENSMVIG00005011638.1)". Lineage: Eukaryota; Metazoa; Chordata; Aves; Passeriformes; Pipridae. The record is from RNAcentral.